Molecule: long non-coding RNA, 2461 nt
Organism: Photinus pyralis (common eastern firefly)
Lineage: Eukaryota; Metazoa; Arthropoda; Insecta; Coleoptera; Lampyridae
Exons: 3
Source: RefSeq, a predicted model, not a curated record
UAAUUUAGCUUACCUGCUUACCUAGUUAUUAUAUGUUGUAGGCAUACCAAAAUGCCAUGUUAUCAAGAUGAAUUUUGUUGUUAUCUACAUUUGGAGUGCAUGGUCAUAGAAUAUGCCAGAGGCGAUAUUAGGAAACUGCUUGGCAAUAACGUUACAGACCAACAUUGACCUAUGGUAAAGAGAGAGUCCGGUGCUGAACGAAUCACAAAAAACCAGACUACAAGGAUCAUGACUGAUAGCUAAAGUAGAGUAGUGACCGAAGGCUUUAAUUCGAGAAGAAGAACAUAUUCUUUCCGAAAAUACAGCGAGAUUUGGUUUGUAAUAUGGAAGUCAGCAGGAACUGGUGUUAUAAACAAAACAAAGGUGGCACGUUAAAGCAAAUUCAAAUUUUAGCGCGCUUGCGUUUGCGCAGUACAGGGAGUCGGUGUGGAACACAUCUGCAAGUUCAGUCUAUCACAUAGAUAAUUUUAUCUAUGGUCUAUCACAACCUAAAAUGGCUAAAAUUUAAACGUGACUCCCUAUCAAGGAGUCUGCGCGAUUUUUUCGGCGCCAGUUUCAAAACAAUUUUAUCGCAGUUUAAAUUAUGGUUUACUAUGGACCAAAAUAGGUAACAUCCCGAAAAACUAUUAAGGUUAAAAAAACCAUAAAACCACGCAAAAUUCAACCGCUUGUCAAAUGACAUGAUUUUUCAUGGCUUUGCCGUUUCUUGAAGCAACCACAAAAUUAGAUUCACAGUAAGAAUAAGCGAAAAUUCUGGCACUCUUACUUACUCUAUAAGACCUUGUUUUGACUCACAAAAGAAUAGGCCUAAAGAUUUUUGAUGCGAAGACAAUAAAAAACUAAUAGUUAGCAAAAUGCCAUUGCUGUUGAGUUCAUAGGGUCAAUGAUGCCCUUUUCCAAAAUAUGCCCAAGACAUUGUUUAAUAUAAUGCCCAAGGUUACGUUACAAACCAAACCUUUCUUAGGUAGGUAUCGCUUUAGAAAUUGUUAUUAAUAAUAAAAAUAUUUAUUGUGUUAUUUAUUUUAGUUUAUUAUAGAAAUCUACAAAAAAAUUCAAUUAUAAAGAGUAAUUUUAUUGUGUAAAAUGAUUAUGAUUCACCACGACGGCACAAAGUAUAUACAAAAAAUACCCCAAAAAAAAGGUGAGUGCCAGUGAUUACAAGAGUAUUGCAAAAAAAUGAGUCAGGGAGAUUAUUUAAUUUUUCAAAUCCAUGUUUUUUUUGUGUAUCAAAAUCAUCACUUCUAUGGAGAGAAAACCCCCUGAAAAAGUACGUAGUUAUACAAAUGACAAUAUUAUACAUAUAUUGUUCAUAUUUGCAUGCUGGGUCCAGUUUUUAGACAGCAAGCAGGGCCCAGUGGCACCCGAGGACGCAAACUUUCAGAUGAUUUAACAAAUGCCAUGGAAGAGACUUAUGAGUACCUACAUGGAAUCUAAUAGCAACUACCAGUUUCGUGUGCACGAAUUAAUUGAUUGUGUAUCAGGCAAAUACACAGUAAGUGAAAGAAGUGUUAAGCGAAAAGUGCAAGAGAAAUGUGGGGAGAUUUUUAAAAUUUCCCCUCUGCUCAUUACGCCUGUAAGGGGGUAGGGCCCUUAAAUUUUGGUAAGAUUCAGCGGAUCCUCAUUUAUAGUGCCAAGAUAAAGUUAUAAAGUAUCAUUGAUGUACAUAUUUUGCUUCCAAAAUAUGCUAUUGUUCCGGUCCUACACGUGGAAGCUGAACCUUUUGUACUUAAUGUUCCUUAAUUGUAACACAGUCAAUAUCUUGUUCGUAUUCUCCUGCAAAGCAUUCGUCAUCUACCUAUACUGUUUGAAAGGUUUCUUCCAAGUGCUGUGCAAACAAUUCUGAAUUUGAAUCGCUUCUAAUCCUCAUUUCCGAGUGGAGGUAGGUACUUGUGCAGUUGAUCUUUUUAAUUCCUUUGUGCAUUUACAAAGCGAACAUUCAGUGUUUUUGAAUCAAUUCGAGCAUGGUAUUGCCAUUUGUGCCGUCUGGAAAGCUAUUCCAGGUUGCUGACAUGUUUUUGACAAAUAAAUCCACCUCGCGCUGGAUCCAUUUUAUUUUGCCCCGAAAAAAGCCAAAAAAUUUUUUGAUUCGUGGCCAUAGACAUCGAGGACUGAAUCUACUGGCGCUCCCUAGCUAUUGGUCUGUGCACGCACAGCGUGUGAUAAGUUUGUGACUGACACACACACAAACAAACAAGAAAGUAACUAUAAAAGUGACUAAUUUUGAACAUUGUAAAUUAGACAACUGUAUUCCAAACCAAAUGGGAGGGAGUAUAUACAAUUAAGGAAAUAGCAUACCACAUGACAAGGCAGGACAAUCAUAUAAUUUGGUACGAUUUCAAAAUGGAAAAUACCUUAGGAUCCUGUACAUUGUUGACAUAAUAAAUUUUAUUAAUUUUAAAAUGUUAUCAUAAAUAGAUAUUUAUUAUUCUCAGAGUGUGUUGAUGUUAACAUUUAUUUUCAA